CCAACCUUUCUGGGUAACUAGACUCUCUAUCUCCACAAAACAGAUGAAGUGGGUUAGUGGCAGUAGUAGCGUCCUCACCUUCCCCAAGCAAUGUACCUCAACCUUGCUAUUUAGUGAUCUACCGCUAAAUGAGAAGAUAAUUCAUUCCCCAUGUUCAUUCAAUCUCCUGAGACU
This 174-nucleotide small RNA is filed under the name Chrysemys picta bellii (western painted turtle). RNAcentral describes it as "TUC338 (ENSCPBG00000000739.1)". The record is from RNAcentral. Lineage: Eukaryota; Metazoa; Chordata; Testudines; Emydidae.